UCUUGCUGGGUGGAUCAGUGGCGAACGGGUGAGUAACACGUGAGCAACCUGCCCCUGACUCUGGGAUAAGCGCUGGAAACGGCGUCUAAUACUGGAUACGAACCACGAAGGCAUGUUCAGUGGUUGGAAAGAUUUAUUGGUUGGGGAUGGGCUCGCGGCCUAUCAGCUUGUUGGUGAGGUAAUGGCUCACCAAGGCGUCGACGGGUAGCCGGCCUGAGAGGGUGACCGGCCACACUGGGACUGAGACACGGCCCAGACUCCUACGGGAGGCAGCAGUGGGGAAUAUUGCACAAUGGGCGCAAGCCUGAUGCAGCAACGCCGCGUGAGGGAUGACGGCCUUCGGGUUGUAAACCUCUUUUAGCAGGGAAGAAGCGAAAGUGACGGUACCUGCAGAAAAAGCGCCGGCUAACUACGUGCCAGCAGCCGCGGUAAUACGUAGGGCGCAAGCGUUAUCCGGAAUUAUUGGGCGUAAAGAGCUCGUAGGCGGUUUGUCGCGUCUGCUGUGAAAUCCCGAGGCUCAACCUCCGGCCUGCAGUGGGUACGGGCAGACUAGAGUG
Molecule: ribosomal RNA, 557 nt
Filed under: Microbacterium sp. LL85
Lineage: Bacteria; Bacillati; Actinomycetota; Actinomycetes; Micrococcales; Microbacteriaceae
Description: bacterial SSU rRNA
Rfam family: Bacterial small subunit ribosomal RNA
Source: RNAcentral